This 253-nucleotide ribosomal RNA is filed under the name uncultured bacterium. Its description in RNAcentral is "partial 16S ribosomal RNA". It matches the Rfam family "Bacterial small subunit ribosomal RNA", at positions 524 to 776 of the family's 1533-position model. The record is from RNAcentral.
UACGUAGGUGGCAGGCGUUGUCCGGAAUUAUUGGGCGUAAAGCGCGCGCAGGCGGCUUCUUAAGUCUGAUGUGAAAUCUUGCGGCUCAACCGCAAGCGGUCAUUGGAAACUGGGGGGCUUGAGUGCAGAAGAGGAGAGUGGAAUUCCACGUGUAGCGGUGAAAUGCGUAGAGAUGUGGAGGAACACCAGUGGCGAAGGCGGCUCUCUGGUCUGUAACUGACGCUGAGGCGCGAAAGCGUGGGGAGCAAACAGG